AAGCCUGUUACCAGGCAACGGCUCUCCCAUUGGAUUGUGGAAGCGAUUGCUCUGGCUUAUAUGAGUCAGGGUUUGCAGGCACCAACGGGCCUGCGUGCUCAUUCUACUCGUGGUCUGACUACAUCCUGGGCUUUGUUCAAGGGUGUUUCCAUCCAAGACAUUUGUGCAGCAGCGAGCUGGUCCUCGCCGCUGACUUUUGUCCGCUUUUACAGGCUAGAUGUGUAAGGAUUUGCAGUACUCCCUCCUUCUGCUUCCCUUUUUGUUUGCUGUCUGUCUGUCUGUGUUUGUCUCCCGGGCUGGGCGUGGCUGACCUACUUCUGGUUCCUGCCAAUUCAUCUCCGCAGCUGCUUCUCAUUCAUCCUGAUCAUCUACUCAUCCACACCUGCUUAUUAACCCGGUCUCCUCAUCCAGUCUUCACCAGUUCGUUGUCAAGAUUACACUGAACCCAUCAUCACCUCCUCCGCUAGCCACGUCCAGCCACUUCCUCGUCGGAUUCAUCCGCUCUCCAUGCAACCAGCUCCAGCCUGCUCGCUCCCCUCAGCUCUGAAACCCCUGCUCGCCACACUCCUGUCCGGUAGGACAAACCCUAACUCCUGCUCCAACCUACUCGCUCUCGGGAGCGUAAAGACACAGGCUCAACCCACCUUUCAUCUGCCUGGCGAUAAUCCCCAGCUCACUCCGGAGCCUCGGCUGAGGAUCCCCAUUCCCUCGCUUUUUAAUCCCCUUUCCUGGACUAUAUUAACAACAGUUAGUAUCCCCUGUCACGAUUUGUAAUUAAAACCUUUUGCUGCUAA
This is a long non-coding RNA of Gymnodraco acuticeps, 794 nucleotides long. RefSeq lists it as uncharacterized. The transcript has 2 exons. NCBI's taxonomy places the organism in Eukaryota, Metazoa, Chordata, Actinopteri, Perciformes, Bathydraconidae. The record is from RefSeq and is a predicted model, not a curated record.